Molecule: long non-coding RNA, 344 nt
Filed under: Gossypium raimondii (Peruvian cotton)
Lineage: Eukaryota; Viridiplantae; Streptophyta; Magnoliopsida; Malvales; Malvaceae
Description: long non-coding RNA (GRAI_LNC006307)
Source: RNAcentral
UGGCCUCUCCUUUUCUUUUUUCUUUUUGUCAUUUUUAUUUUCAUUUUAAUUUUGAGUUUUUUUCUUUUUCUUUCUUUUUUCUUUUUUGUGUUUUUUUGUUUUAUAUUUUUUGAUUUUGUUUUUGAUUGCUAUUUUUUUAUUUUGAUUUUUCUUUUCUUUUUUGAUUGUGAUUUUUUUGAUUGAAUAUGAAGAUCUUCCACUUUCAUCUUGUAUGCGAAAAAUCUUCUUUGGUAUCAGGUUUUUUUCAUAAAGCCUUUUGGGGCGCAACUACGACAGAAAACUUUGGAUAUUCCUCUUCAAUCAGGAUAAACCCAACAAAAACUUGAAGAGAUGGAAACUUGACU